AUCUACUAAUUAUUGACAAAAGCUAUCUUACUUCUCAAAAAAAAUAUUAAUUCGAAAAAACAAAAAUAAAAUUUAGAAUUUAAAUCUUUUUAGACAAUUCAUAUAUUUAGUUAAUUAGGCGACACGAUCUCCUAAAGAUAAUAUACGAGAAUACACCAUUCGAAUCCAAAAUCUCUUAAAAAGAGAGAAAACACUAAUCAUAUUGUUAAAGAAUUAUUAGUAUAAUUUGAUUUGAAAAUGUAAUAAUGAAAGUAAAAUAUAUUAACACUUUUGUAUUGACUUAUUUAAUAGCCAAACAAUUCUUAAAGAAAUUAAAGAUAUAUUUCCUACCAAUUUAUGUAGUAAUAAUAUAAAGAUGUUGUCUCUCUUUUAAUAAAAAAAUGAUACUAGUCUGGUACUAAUAUAUGUCUUCUCCUCGACACUCCAUAUUAUCCUUUAAGAUAAUUAUUUUUUAAAAGGAAAUAAACUUUAUCAAUAACAAUUAACCACUAUAAACACAAUGAGAAGUACCAUUAAACAAUACAUCUGACAACCACUAUAUAGAUUGAUAAAGAAAUAGAAGGCAUUGCAUGUCAAAAACCAAUUAGAAGGAAACAAUCCAUCAUCCAUUACUAAUUUCAGCCCUUAAGAAAAUUAUGGUAUGCUAUAGAUUGCAUGUUGGUGUACAUACAAAUAACUAAAACCAAUUAAAGAUUAUAUAUGUAUGUGUAUACAAAUAAAGCAAUACUUAUUCUACUUGCUACUAGACAACAUUGCAACUGUAUCAUAAUAAUAUCACAUAUUUAGCAAAUUUGCAAGAUAUUAUCCAAACUACUUAAAAGAGCUAGUUGCUAGUGUACACAUGCACUUCUCAUCAACACUCUGAAUUAGUAGUAUAUAUGUGAGUGUAAUUUUUUAUUCUUUAAAAUAUAGGAAAUAAAGAUAGAUUGUUCUAUAUAUCGAUGAGUUAGAUAGAAGCCGAAACAAAUCUAACUAAAUGAUUAAACAAUAGAUCUAUAACUUAAUUUAGCAUGUUUUUCUAGAUAUAUAAUAUUAAUAUUAAUCAAAAUAUUAAUUAUUUUAGAUGUUCUGAUUAUAUCAGUUUUCUUAAAGAAAAAUAUUAUUCCUUAAUGCCACUAUCCCAAAUUUUAAUUCCAAGAUCCAAAUAGUGUAUCCACCAUCUAUUAAAUUCUAUACAAAAAUCUCAUUUGAAAUCUGAACAAAUUUAUGUAGCUAGUUAACUUAAUCUUCCUCCUAACUAGAUUGAACUUUUACAUAUACUAUAUCAAUAAUGCUUCUGUCAUCGCUCUAUUGUGUACAAAGAAAAUGAAAAAAAAAAAAAAAAGAGAAAAGAGCAUUCAGAUAGCUUAAAAUUAUAUUGAGUAUGUAGAUAUUUUAACAAAUAGCAAUAGAGCCACGUCAAGCCGGGGGAAUAGAGAAAUUAAAGAAUGAAGCAUAGUAAUAGUACAGGAUAAAUAAAAUAUUGAGGAGAAGAUUAAUGUGAAGAAAAUCAUAAUGCAAAGCAAUCUAAGUAUAUGCGUGCAUGCGAACCGAUGAUUGCGACUAUAAAGAUGACAACUGCAACUAUUAUGAUGACUACAACUAUUAAGACAAUAACUAUGAUGACUAAUAA
This 1612-nucleotide long non-coding RNA is filed under the name Carica papaya (papaya). RNAcentral describes it as "long non-coding RNA (CPAP_LNC013969)". The record is from RNAcentral. Lineage: Eukaryota; Viridiplantae; Streptophyta; Magnoliopsida; Brassicales; Caricaceae.